Molecule: ribosomal RNA, 250 nt
Filed under: Clostridium sp. enrichment culture clone gl5
Lineage: Bacteria; Bacillati; Bacillota; Clostridia; Eubacteriales; Clostridiaceae
Description: partial 16S ribosomal RNA
Rfam family: Bacterial small subunit ribosomal RNA
Source: RNAcentral
CGCCGUAAACGAUGAAUACUAGGUGUAGGGGUUGUCAUGACCUCUGUGCCGCCGCUAACGCAUUAAGUAUUCCGCCUGGGGAGUACGGUCGCACAAUUAAAACUCAUUGGAAUUGACCGGGUCCCGCACAAGCAGCGGAGCAUAUGGUUUAAUUCGAAGCAACGCGAAGAACCUUACCUAGACUUGACAUCUCCUGAAUUACCCUUAAUCGGGGAAGCCCUUCGGGGCAGGAAGACAGGUGGUGCAUGGU